GCAGCUAUCAACAAUAGACUGUGCUAAAGAGCUAUCAACACGAUGUUUCUCCUACACGAUGAAGUUUUGAAGCUGUGUCACAAUCCAUCCCCUGAAUGUUGGCACAGGAUACUGAAGCAUCACACUUAAAUAACUCCUAGUGAGACUGGACCCUUGUUGAGCGUCAACCCCCCAGACAGAGCCUCUGCAGGAAAAAGCAGCUGUGAUGAAUUUCUAAAAAACUUCAGAGGGAUGAUGAUCCACGCUUGUCAUGCCAUUCCAGCCUCCAGUGAGAUCUGAAAUUACUUACGAGGCAUUUUUGAAAGUGGAUCUGGAGUCUAUAAACACCAAUUGAUUUAUUGAGAAUGAAUGGUGAAAAGAACUAUGUAGCUGUUGUAAAUGUCUGCAAGUUGAAAGCUGUUGCAAUAACCAAGGUCAGAGACUCAUGUCUUGUUUUGGAAAGCUACACUGACAAUGUAUGCACUCGUGACAAUGUAAGACUCUUCAGAGAGAAGAUUCGGGCCAAAUUACAAAUGCAUGAUGACAUACAUACCAUAGCUUGUUCCCAUACUACAGAUGUAAUAUACCCACAGUGACAACUUUAUGCAACAUUCAUUCCAGGCUGCAUUCAAAGAUUUUCCAUCGGCUUGGCCUGAAUGACUUCAUGAGUGAGGAUGAAUGGUAAUCUUAUGAGGUGUUAGGUUAGGGACAGAGGCCUACCUCACUACCCUCAAACAUGCCCAGACAGACUCAGUGGGGCUCAGUACUGUUAUUCUAAA
Paralichthys olivaceus (Japanese flounder) is the source of this 758-nucleotide non-coding RNA. The record is from RefSeq and is a predicted model, not a curated record. Lineage: Eukaryota; Metazoa; Chordata; Actinopteri; Pleuronectiformes; Paralichthyidae.